UACGAAAUGCAAGCAAGAGCCGAGGAACAGAUGCGUGGGCUUCAGGCUGAAAUCCACAGACUUGUGGAGCAGAAGAUGCUUUCUACCGCCGCCUAUUCUGCUGGAAGCCUCCUAGCCCCUGCACCCUCGGCCAAGUCCCAGACAGCAUCUCAGAAUUCCUGGACUCCUUUCUGCUGGUCACAAACAGGUCUCAAAUUCAAUUGAAGACAGCAGACCUCAAGCUGGCGAGAGACAAAGAACAGCCAGAACCAUCACCCUCAAGCUGCUGGAGCAGAUGUUGGAGGCUGCUGGCACAAGUAAGCAAGCCCCGGUGGCCUGAGGAACUCAUUGUCACUGGAUGCCGGUAACACACAGAGAGUGCCCAAGACGUAUUAGUCAAUGUGGCUGAAAAGCCAAACCUCCUUAGCACUUUAAAACACCUUGAAUCACAAACUGUUGCUGUCGACCCCAAGAGCAGCGGGCUAGUUUAGGCACCUAAGACUUUUAAUUACACAUGGCUGUUCUCUAUGGCAGGGAUUUGCACAGACAGGGUGUAUUCCUACGACCGCUACUGUGUGCAAUGCAGGCUGCUAAA
Non-coding RNA from Pogona vitticeps (central bearded dragon), 574 nucleotides. The record is from RefSeq and is a predicted model, not a curated record. NCBI's taxonomy places the organism in Eukaryota, Metazoa, Chordata, Lepidosauria, Squamata, Agamidae.